RNAcentral lists this transfer RNA (82 nucleotides) under Talaromyces rugulosus. RNAcentral describes it as "Penicillium rugulosum tRNA". It matches the Rfam family "tRNA". Rfam says of the family: Transfer RNA (tRNA) molecules are approximately 80 nucleotides in length. Their secondary structure includes four short double-helical elements and three loops (D, anti-codon, and T loops). The record is from Rfam by way of RNAcentral. Lineage: Eukaryota; Fungi; Ascomycota; Eurotiomycetes; Eurotiales; Trichocomaceae.
GACAACAUGGCGGAGUGGUCUAACGCGAUAGACUUGAAAUCUAUUCUCCUCGGAGGCGCAGGUUCAAAUCCUGCUGUUGUCG